This 1671-nucleotide ribosomal RNA is filed under the name Taaningichthys minimus. Its description in RNAcentral is "16S rRNA". The stretch from base 101 to 1559 matches the Rfam family "Bacterial large subunit ribosomal RNA". Lineage: Eukaryota; Metazoa; Chordata; Actinopteri; Myctophiformes; Myctophidae. The record is from RNAcentral.
UCCUGAAAAGCUAGCCCAACUCUCACGAAAUGUCCACUUUGAAUAAAACAACCCCUGAAUAAUUCAACAAAUCAUUUUACCUCCCCAGUAAUCGGGCGACAGAAAAGGAACCAGGAGCUAUAGAUAAAGUACCGCAAGGGAAAGCUGAAAGAGAAAUGAAACAACUACCCCAAGCUACGAAAAGCAAAGAUUAUCUCUUGUACCUUUUGCAUCAUGACCUAGCCAGUACCCCUGAGCAUAGAGAACUUUAGUUCGGCCCCCCGAAACUAAGCGAGCUACUUCAAGACAGCCUACGUUGGGCUAACCCGUCUCUGUCGCAAAAGAGUGGGGAGAUCUUCAAGUAGAGGUGACAAACCUACCGAGCCUAGUUAUAGCUGGUGUCUGAAAAGUGUAUGUAAGUUCAGCCUCCCGACUCCCCCCAUCCUAGACAACUACGUCCCCUAAGAUUAAGGGUGACCGAGAGAGUUAGUCAAAGAGGGUACAGCCCCUUUGAAUAAGGACACAACCUCACUGGGAGAUUUAAGAUCAUAAACGACCCAAGGAGUCCUGUUUUAGUGGGCCUAGAAGCAGCCACCUAAGAAAAAAGCGUUAAAGCUUAUGCAGACUCUAGCCCCCAAUACCGAACCCAAUUCUACACCCCCACCUUGUAUCAGACCCUCCCGCCGAUCCCGGGAAAGACCCUGCUAGGAUGAGUAAUUUGGGGGAGACUGACCCCCUCCUAACACAUGUGUACGUCGGAACGGACUCGCCGCCGAUAAUCAACGGUUCCCCACACGAGGAGAAUGUAUAAUCACCCGAACAACAAGAAAACUUAACAUGACCAGCCGUUAACCCCACACAGGUGUGUUUACCCGGAAAGACUUAGACAAGGGGAAGGAACUCGGCAAACACGAGCCUCGCCUGUUUACCAAAAACAUCGCCUCUUGCAAAACGAACGAAUAAGAGGUCCCGCCUGCCCUGUGACCAUGUGUUUAACGGCCGCGGUAUUUUGACCGUGCAAAGGUAGCGCAAUCACUUGUCUCUUAAUUGGAGACCUGUAUGAAAGGCACCACGAGGGCUCAGCUGUCUCCCCCUUUAAGUCAGUGAAAUUGAUCUCCCCGUGCAGAAGCGGGGAUGUACUCGUAAGACGAGAAGACCCUAUGGAGCUUUAGACAUAAGGCGACCUACGUUAAGCACUCUUCCUGAAAAGACAAAACAAGGUAAGCCUCGCUGGAAUGUCUUCGGUUGGGGCGACCACGGGGAACCAUAAAACCCCCGCGCGGAUAAGGGUAACUACCCCUCCUACAUCCUAGACCCACAGGUCAAAGCCACAGUACUUCUGACCACAGAGAUCCGGCAAUGCCGAUCAACGGACCUAGUUACCCUAGGGAUAACAGCGCAAUCCCCUCCCAGAGCCCUUAUCGACAAGGGGGUUUACGACCUCGAUGUUGGAUCAGGACAUCCUAAUGGUGCAGCCGCUAUCAAGGGUUCGUUUGUUCAACGAUUAAUAGUCCUACGUGAUCUGAGUUCAGACCGGAGUAAUCCAGGUCGGUUUCUAUCUACGCCUUGAUUUUUUCUAGUACGAAAGGACCGAAAAGAGGUGGCCCCUGUUUUGAGAUAUGCCUCACCUCCCACUAAUGAACACAAAUAAAAUAGAAAGGAGACAAACUCCCACGCCCGAAAGCAGGGCUA